CCUACGGGAGGCAGCAGUGGGGAAUAUUGGACAAUGGGCGCAAGCCUGAUCCAGCCAUGCCGCGUGUGUGAUGAAGGCCUUAGGGUUGUAAAGCACUUUCGCCGGUGAAGAUAAUGACGGUAACCGGAGAAGAAGCCCCGGCUAACUUCGUGCCAGCAGCCGCGGUAAUA
Molecule: ribosomal RNA, 170 nt
Filed under: uncultured bacterium
Lineage: Bacteria
Description: partial 16S rRNA
Rfam family: Bacterial small subunit ribosomal RNA
Source: RNAcentral